Molecule: ribosomal RNA, 504 nt
Filed under: uncultured bacterium
Lineage: Bacteria
Description: partial 16S ribosomal RNA
Rfam family: Bacterial small subunit ribosomal RNA
Source: RNAcentral
AUUCAACGCUGGCGGCAGGCCUAACACAUGCAAGUCGGACGGUAGCACAGAGAGCUUGCUCUCGGGUGACGAGUGGCGGACGGGUGAGUAACGUCUGGGAAACUGCCCGAUGGAGGGGGAUAACUACUGGAAACGGUAGCUAAUACCGCAUAACGUCGCAAGACCAAAGUGGGGGACCUUCGGGCCUCACACCAUCGGAUGUGCCCAGAUGGGAUUAGCUAGUAGGUGGGGUAAUGGCUCACCUAGGCGACGAUCCCUAGCUGGUCUGAGAGGAUGACCAGCCACACUGGAACUGAGACACGGUCCAGACUCCUACGGGAGGCAGCAGUGGGGAAUAUUGCACAAUGGGCGCAAGCCUGAUGCAGCCAUGCCGCGUGUAUGAAGAAGGCCUUCGGGUUGUAAAGUACUUUCAGCGGGGAGGAAGGCGGUGAAGUUAAUAACUUCACCGAUUGACGUUACCCGCAGAAGAAGCACUGGCUAACUCCGUGCCAGCAGCCGCCGUAA